Molecule: non-coding RNA, 550 nt
Organism: Amborella trichopoda
Lineage: Eukaryota; Viridiplantae; Streptophyta; Magnoliopsida; Amborellales; Amborellaceae
Source: RefSeq, a predicted model, not a curated record
AAACCCUUUAUCAAUUCCUCCUCCCUGGUUUUUUUAAUGUUUUGUGGAUUUCAAUUCAUCUUCCUCGAAAGAAGAAACCCACAACCAAAUCUUCGAGCCUACAUAUAUUUGAAGCCCAAGGGGGACGCUACAUCCAUAUUCGUUUGAGUUAGAGCGAGAGAUAAUGAGUAACACAUUUUGUAGAGAGAGGAUCGCCAUGGAUCUAUGCAGGACUAGCCUUUGGUUCAGUCCUCUUUCAUUAUUUUUUUCAUCAUAACACAAUCCGUUCCUUCGGCUUCUCAGGAAAUUGAGGAUGAGAGAGAGUUUGAUUAUUUGGAAGGCAGUGAGAAGGGGCCGAAGCACUGGGGCGAGCUCCAUCCCGAAUGGGCGGCUUGUAGCAAUGGGGAUAUGCAGUCUCCAAUUGACCUGCUUCAAGAAAGGGUGGAGGUUCUGCCAAAUCUGGGGCGCUUAAAGAGGGAAUAUAAGCCCGCUAAAGCAAUCCUAGAGAACAGAGGCCAUGAUAUAAUGCUUAAGUGGGAGGAAAGUGGAGCUGGAACACUUGAAAUAAACC